UACGAAGGGAGCUAGCGUUGUUCGGAAUUACUGGGCGUAAAGCGCACGUAGGCGGCCGAUCAAGUCAGAGGUGAAAGCCCGGGGCUCAACCUGGGAAUAGCCUUUGAUACUAGAUGGCUUGAGUCUUGGAGAGGUCAGUGGAAUUCCGAGUGUAGAGGUGAAAUUCGUAGAUAUUCGGAAGAACACCAGUGGCGAAGGCGACUGACUGGACAAGUAUUGACGCUGAGGCGCGAAAGCGUGGGGAGCAAACAGG
Molecule: ribosomal RNA, 253 nt
Filed under: uncultured bacterium
Lineage: Bacteria
Description: partial 16S ribosomal RNA
Rfam family: Bacterial small subunit ribosomal RNA
Source: RNAcentral